CCUACGGGUUGCAGCAGUGGGGAAUAUUGCACAAUGGGCGCAAGCCUGAUGCAGCCAUGCCGCGUGUGUGAAGAAGGCCUUCGGGUUGUAAAGCACUUUCAGCGGGGAGGAAGGCGGUGAGGUUAAUAACCUCAUCGAUUGACGUCACCCGCAGAAGAAGCACCGGCUAACUCCGUGCCAGCAGCCGCGGUAAUACGGAGGGUGCAAGCGUUAAUCGGAAUUACUGGGCGUAAAGCGCACGCAGGCGGUCUGUCAAGUCGGAUGUGAAAUCCCCGGGCUCAACCUGGGAACUGCAUUCGAAACUGGCAGGCUAGAGUCUUGUAGAGGGGGGUAGAAUUCCAGGUGUAGCGGUGAAAUGCGUAGAGAUCUGGAGGAAUACCGGUGGCGAAGGCGGCCCCCUGGACAAAGACUGACGCUCAGGUGCGAAAGCGUGGGGAGCAAACAGGAUUAGAUACCCUCGUAGUC
This 465-nucleotide ribosomal RNA is filed under the name uncultured bacterium. RNAcentral describes it as "bacterial SSU rRNA". It matches the Rfam family "Bacterial small subunit ribosomal RNA", at positions 338 to 795 of the family's 1533-position model. The record is from RNAcentral.